CUCCGACGAAUUCUCCAGUCUCGUCUUCAUCUGGUUCGAGCACUGGUAUGUUGCAGAGACAAAGUUUCUCUCUAGACUGAGUUCAUCAUUCUCUGUGAGCCAUCCUUCAACCCGCAUCAGUCAUCUUGUUAUCCUCACGGUUACUCUGCUGUAAUCAAAUCCAAUAGCCUAUCAGUCUCUUCAUCUGUCUCUUAAAGUCUUCACCUUUUGAGGGUUUGUUGAGUCUGAUUUCCAGAAACUUUCUUGUUGAUUUCGCCUGCUUGGGAGCUUCUUCGUCACCAGAUGAAACAGAUCUGAACUUUGAGAUUAUAGAAGUAUGGCGAGCUCAGAGGUGUCUAAGAAAGGAAAUCGUGGAGGAGAAAACUUCCAUUGCCUUCCCUGAAAUCGUGAACAACAUGUUGGGUCGACAAGUAUCACUCAAAAUCUCAAUAUACCGGUAGAGAAGUUUUUGUCUUGUAGGUUGCAGUUUACAAGUUAAAUGAUAGAUAGAUCCCAUGGGUAAGAGCCUGCUGAUCUCGAGAUUAGUUUGUUUUCUGAAAAGAUCUCAGGCAGAACUCUCAUUUCAAAAAGAGAAGUUCAGGUUGGUGAAUCUCGCCUUGUCAAGCCGGAAGAAGAGAGAGCGGUGACACGGUGAAGCCGGAAGUGGAGACAACGGUGAGGCUACGGCUGAGGCGGUGAAGCCGAAGGAGUACAGACAGAAGUUGGGCUAGUAUCAUUUUCUGGUUUGACUGUUUGGUCUCUGAAGUUAUAUCAUUCAUAAGAGUGAUUAAGACGUGUUUUUGGAUUAUGAAAAAGGGAAUUGUAAUUGAUUAUGUAAAGAACUGUAGUUGUUAUAUUUGAGCUCAGUUCAUGGAA
Long non-coding RNA from Brassica oleracea var. oleracea, 855 nucleotides. RefSeq lists it as uncharacterized. The record is from RefSeq and is a predicted model, not a curated record. The transcript has 4 exons. NCBI's taxonomy places the organism in Eukaryota, Viridiplantae, Streptophyta, Magnoliopsida, Brassicales, Brassicaceae.